This 642-nucleotide ribosomal RNA is filed under the name Rhynchoconger flavus. RNAcentral's name for it is "partial 16S ribosomal RNA subunit". It matches the Rfam family "Bacterial large subunit ribosomal RNA", at positions 1796 to 2619 of the family's 2925-position model. The record is from RNAcentral. Lineage: Eukaryota; Metazoa; Chordata; Actinopteri; Anguilliformes; Congridae.
UCGCCUGUUUAUCAAAAACAUCGCCUCUUGCUAACAAAAUGUAUUAGAGGUCCCGCCUGCCCUGUGACAAAGUUUAACGGCCGCGGUAUCCUGACCGUGCGAAGGUAGCGUAAUCACUUGUCUUUUAAAUGAAGACCUGUAUGAAUGGCAUAACGAGGGUUUAACUGUCUCCUAAUCCCAGUCAAUGAAAUUGAUCUGUCCGUGCAGAAGCGGACAUAAAAACAUAAGACGAGAAGACCCUAUGGAGCUUUAGGCUAAAGAUCAUGCAUGUUAAGAAACUACAACUUCCAAAAGAACAAACAAAAAGUUACACAAACUAAAUGUUAACUGAUCCUAAUGCCUUCGGUUGGGGCGACCACGGGGAAAAAAGAAACCCCCACAUGGAAUGGAAACAUCCCCCUAAACUUAGAGAGACCUCUCCAAGUAACAGAACAUCUGACCAAAAAUGACCCAGGGACCAAAGAACCCUGAUUAAUGAACCAAGUUACCCUAGGGAUAACAGCGCAAUCCUUUCCCAGAGCCCAUAUCGACGAAAGGGUUUACGACCUCGAUGUUGGAUCAGGACAUCCUAAUGGUGCAGCCGCUAUUAAGGGUUCGUUUGUUCAACGAUUAACAGUCCUACGUGAUCUGAGUUCAGACCGG